GCCCAGGUAGCUCAGUCGGUAGAGCAGGGGACUGAAAAUCCCCGUGUGGGCGGUUCGAUUCCGUCCCUGGGCACCA
This 76-nucleotide transfer RNA is filed under the name bacterium. Its description in RNAcentral is "tRNA-Phe". It matches the Rfam family "tRNA". From Rfam's summary of the family: Transfer RNA (tRNA) molecules are approximately 80 nucleotides in length. Their secondary structure includes four short double-helical elements and three loops (D, anti-codon, and T loops). The record is from RNAcentral.